This 255-nucleotide long non-coding RNA is filed under the name Rosa chinensis. RNAcentral's name for it is "sRNA RchiOBHm_Chr3g0496621". The record is from RNAcentral. Lineage: Eukaryota; Viridiplantae; Streptophyta; Magnoliopsida; Rosales; Rosaceae.
UUCUCUUGCAAAAAUCUCAACUCUUCCCCGCCCAAGUUCUUCUCUUGGGCUAUCGGAUUUCGCGACAGGGGCUGUGUGUUCAAUCGAGGACGAAGAGAGCAUCUCAGAUUGUGAUUUCUCAUCAUAAAUUCAGAUGCGACGGAGUUUCUAAACUUGGUGGAUGACUCGGUUCAAGCAUAUCAAAGUCUUAUGCACGAUUUUGAUGAGUUUUGGAGCACUAUGACAAGGUAGAUGCAUUGUUGUUACUUGCUUUGA